Molecule: ribosomal RNA, 287 nt
Filed under: Bacillus cereus
Lineage: Bacteria; Bacillati; Bacillota; Bacilli; Caryophanales; Bacillaceae
Description: partial 23S ribosomal RNA
Rfam family: Bacterial large subunit ribosomal RNA
Source: RNAcentral
GUGUGGCCAUAGCGGGUGAUAGCCCCGUAUGCGAAAGGGCCUGAUCGAUGAAAUUGAGUAGGGCGGGGCACGUGAAACCCUGUCUGAACAUGGGGGGACCAUCCUCCAAGGCUAAAUACUCCUGACCGACCGAUAGUGAACCAGUACCGUGAGGGAAAGGCGAAAAGAACCCUGGUGAAGGGAGUGAAAUAGAUCCUGAAACCGUGUGCGUACAAGCAGUCGGAGCCCGCAAGGGUGACGGCGUACCUUUUGUAUAAUGGGUCAGCGACUUACUGUUUGUGGCGAGC